This 433-nucleotide ribosomal RNA is filed under the name uncultured bacterium. Its description in RNAcentral is "partial 16S ribosomal RNA". It matches the Rfam family "Bacterial small subunit ribosomal RNA", at positions 29 to 507 of the family's 1533-position model. The record is from RNAcentral.
AGCGAACGCUGGCGGCAGGCCUAACACAUGCAAGUCGAACGAACUCUUCGGAGUUAGUGGCGGACGGGUGAGUAACACGUUGGAACGUGCCUUUUGUUCCGGCAGAACUCAGGGAAACUUGUGCUAAUACCGAAUGUGCCCGUCGGGGGCAAGAUUUAUCGCCAUUAGAGCGGCCCGCGUCUGCUUAGCUGGUUGGUGAGGUAACGGCUCACCAAGGCGACGAGCAGUAGCUGGUCUGAGAGGAUGACCAGCCACACUGGGAAUGAGGCACGGCCCAGACUCCGACGGGAGGCAGCAGUAGGGAAUGUUGCGCAAUGAGCGAAAGCCUGACGAAGCCAUGCCGCGUGAAAGAUGAAGGUGUUAGGAUUGUAAAAUUCUUUCGCCGGAGACGAUAAUGACGGUACCCGGAGAAGAAGCCCCGGCUAACUUCGUG